CCUACGGGCGGCUGCAGUGGGGAAUAUUGGACAAUGGGCGAAAGCCUGAUCCAGCCAUGCCGCGUGUGUGAAGAAGGCCUUCGGGUUGUAAAGCACUUUCAGUGGGGAAGAAAGCCUUGGGGCUAAUACCCUCGAGGAAGGACAUCACCCACAGAAGAAGCACCGGCUAACUCCGUGCCAGCAGCCGCGGUAAUACGGAGGGUGCGAGCGUUAAUCGGAAUUACUGGGCGUAAAGCGCGCGUAGGCGGUCUGAUAAGCCGGUUGUGAAAGCCCCGGGCUCAACCUGGGAACGGCAUCCGGAACUGACAGGCUAGAGUGCAGGAGAGGAAGGUAGAAUUCCCGGUGUAGCGGUGAAAUGCGUAGAGAUCGGGAGGAAUACCAGUGGCGAAGGCGGCCUUCUGGACUGACACUGACGCUGAGGUGCGAAAGCGUGGGUAGCAAACAGGAUUAGAUACCCUAGUAGU
RNAcentral lists this ribosomal RNA (464 nucleotides) under Vreelandella stevensii. RNAcentral's name for it is "partial 16S ribosomal RNA". It matches the Rfam family "Bacterial small subunit ribosomal RNA", at positions 338 to 794 of the family's 1533-position model. The record is from RNAcentral. Lineage: Bacteria; Pseudomonadati; Pseudomonadota; Gammaproteobacteria; Oceanospirillales; Halomonadaceae.